ACCAGGCACGGUGGCGCAUGCCUGUAGUCCCAUCUACUCAGGAGGCUGAGACUGGAGGAUCUCUUGAGUCCAGGAGUUUGGGGCUGUAGUGCGCUAUGCCGAUCGGGUGUCCGUACUAAGCUCGGCAUCAAUAUGGUGACCUCCUGGGAGCGAGGGACCACCAGGUUGCCUAAGGAAGGGUGAACUAGCCCAGGUCGGAAACAGAGCAGGUCAGAACUCCUGUGCUGAUCAGUAGUGGGAUCAUGCCUGUGAGUAGCCACUGCACUCCAGCCUGGGCAACAUAGCAAGACCCUGUCUCU
RNAcentral lists this signal recognition particle RNA (299 nucleotides) under Cebus imitator (Panamanian white-faced capuchin). RNAcentral's name for it is "Metazoan signal recognition particle RNA (ENSCCAG00000007321.1)". It matches the Rfam family "Metazoan signal recognition particle RNA". From Rfam's summary of the family: The signal recognition particle (SRP) is a universally conserved ribonucleoprotein. The record is from RNAcentral. Lineage: Eukaryota; Metazoa; Chordata; Mammalia; Primates; Cebidae.